This 468-nucleotide ribosomal RNA is filed under the name uncultured bacterium. Its description in RNAcentral is "partial 16S ribosomal RNA". It matches the Rfam family "Bacterial small subunit ribosomal RNA", at positions 28 to 507 of the family's 1533-position model. The record is from RNAcentral.
GACGAACGCUGGCGGCGUGCUUAACACAUGCAAGUCGAACGGAAAGGCCCUGCUUUUGUGGGGUGCUCGAGUGGCGAACGGGUGAGUAACACGUGAGUAACCUGCCCUUGACUUUGGGAUAACUUCAGGAAACGGGGGCUAAUACCGGAUAGGAGCUCCUGCUGCAUGGUGGGGGGUGGGAAGUUUCGGCGGUUGGGGAUGGACUGGCGGCUUAUCAGCUUGUUGGUGGGGUAGUGGCUUACCAAGGCUUUGACGGGUAGCCGGCCUGAGGGGGUGACCGGCCACAUUGGGACUGGGAUACGGCCCAGACUCGUACGGGAGGCAGAAGUGGGGAAUAUUGCAGAAUGGGCGGAAGCCUGAUGCAGCAACGCCGCGUGCGGGAUGACGGCCUUCGGGUUGUAAACCGCUUUCGCCUGUGACGAAGCGUGAGUGACGGUAAUGGGUAAAGAAGCACCGGCUAACUACGUG